AUGGAGUGGUACCAGAUAUCUUGGGAAUCUGGCAUAUCACAGGGAAUCUAUCUUCCAAGGGCACCUACACAUCAAAAGCCCUAGAAGAAAAAGAAACAUUUCUUGACAUUAAAUCAAGUUUUCAUUCUGGAGAAAGCUCUCUAAGAAGAAAAAGGAGCAGAAUGGAGAAGCUGGCUUAGUACCCCAAAUCCCCUCUAUGCAAUUCUCACCUGAAUUUGCAAGGAAAUGGACUGAAUCCAUGCCACAAAUUUAGUG
This is a non-coding RNA of Odocoileus virginianus texanus, 255 nucleotides long. The record is from RefSeq and is a predicted model, not a curated record. Lineage: Eukaryota; Metazoa; Chordata; Mammalia; Artiodactyla; Cervidae.